RNAcentral lists this ribosomal RNA (274 nucleotides) under uncultured bacterium. RNAcentral's name for it is "partial 16S ribosomal RNA". It matches the Rfam family "Bacterial small subunit ribosomal RNA", at positions 523 to 796 of the family's 1533-position model. The record is from RNAcentral.
AUACGGAGGGUCCAAGCGUUAUCCGGAAUCAUUGGGUUUAAAGGGUCCGCAGGCGGUCAAUUAAGUCAGAGGUGAAAGCCCAUCGCUCAACGAUGGAACUGCCUUUGAUACUGGUUGACUUGAGUUAUACGGAAGUAGAUAGAAUAAGUAGUGUAGCGGUGAAAUGCAUAGAUAUUUCUUAGAAUACCGAUUGCGAAGGCAGUCUACUACGUAUAUACUGACGCUCAGGGACGAAAGCGUGGGGAGCGAACAGGAUUAGAAACCCUAGUAGUCC